AAACAAAUCGAAUAUUAUCUGAAAAUAUCCGCAUUCGUAUAGAAAAAAUUGGGAUAUGGUUGGAUAUGAAUAUAGAUAUAAUAUUAAAAAAGUCAAAAUUAUUCAAAUAUCUAACAAAAUGAAUAUGGAUAUGAAUAUCAAUACCCAAUUUUUUUUAAUAAUAUUAUAUUUUAUAUUAAUAAAUUAUGUAAAUUAUCAUCCACUAUCCUAUUCUCCUAAUCCCUAACUCCCAUAUCUCAUUCCUCUAUUUCAAUAUUGUUCUUUCAAAUUUUU
RNAcentral lists this long non-coding RNA (273 nucleotides) under Ananas comosus (pineapple). RNAcentral's name for it is "long non-coding RNA (ACOM_LNC006760)". Lineage: Eukaryota; Viridiplantae; Streptophyta; Magnoliopsida; Poales; Bromeliaceae. The record is from RNAcentral.